UUUACAAUGGAGAGUUUGAUCCUGGCUCAGGAUGAACGCUAGCGGCAGGCCUAAUACAUGCAAGUCGAACGGGGCAGCAAUGCCCAGUGGCGCACGGGUGCGUAACGCGUAGGCAAUCUG
Molecule: ribosomal RNA, 120 nt
Filed under: Hymenobacter gummosus
Lineage: Bacteria; Pseudomonadati; Bacteroidota; Cytophagia; Cytophagales; Hymenobacteraceae
Description: partial 16S ribosomal RNA
Rfam family: Bacterial small subunit ribosomal RNA
Source: RNAcentral